CCGAAGAGAUUUGGGAGUGCUCGCAAGAGAACCGGAACACAGGUGCUGCAUGGCUGUCGUCAGCUCGUGUCGUGAGAUGUUGGGUUAAGUCCCGCAACGAGCGCAACCCUUGUCAUUAGUUGCUACGAAAGGGCACUCUAAUGAGACUGCCGGUGACAAACCGGAGGAAGGUGGGGAUGACGUCAAGUCCUCAUGGCCCUUAUGGGUAGGGCUUCACACGUCAUACAAUGGUCGGGACAGAGGGUCGCCAACCCGCGAGGGGGAGCCAAUCCCAGAAACCCGAUCGUAGUCCGGAUUGCAGUCUGCAACUCGACUGCAUGAAGUCGGAAUCGCUAGUAAUCGCGGAUCAGAAUGUCGCGGUGAAUACGUUCCCGGGUCUU
Molecule: ribosomal RNA, 380 nt
Filed under: uncultured Achromobacter sp.
Lineage: Bacteria; Pseudomonadati; Pseudomonadota; Betaproteobacteria; Burkholderiales; Alcaligenaceae
Description: bacterial SSU rRNA
Rfam family: Bacterial small subunit ribosomal RNA
Source: RNAcentral